RNAcentral lists this microRNA (22 nucleotides) under Ixodes ricinus (castor bean tick). Its description in RNAcentral is "iri-miR-X14-3p". Lineage: Eukaryota; Metazoa; Arthropoda; Arachnida; Ixodida; Ixodidae. The record is from RNAcentral.
GAGGCAUCAGGAACAGCUCGGG